AAUUAUAUAAACAAAUACAUAUAACAGAUUAAGCAUGUGAUCAUAUAAGAAUGAAUUGAAAAUAAAACAGUUAGGAAACACAACCUAAGCAUAUUAUAUUCUAGACUUGACUCGUCCGGACUUUAAAAUGAUAGUCGGGCUAUGGCGAGUCUUGCACCCGUGGUGACUUAUGAAACUUGGGUUCCCCACCCUGCCACACUCACGAGGUUAGUCUGUUCCGCGCCUUGAGGCAUACUGGGAGCCCCCAAGACUAAGGACCUCCUGCUACUUCUCACCACAUGCUUCAACCUCUCUAAGUGAGUUUGAUUGACCAUUGAAGCGUCAGAAUGACUCUCAAGGCUGAGCCCCUACUUUCAUUUUAAAACACUAAGAAUCUCACCAAGAGAUUCUACAUUUGAAACUACUAUAAGCAACCAUGAAAUCAUGUUUCAGUCUUUCCCAAUUCACAUACUUUUGAACCACAAUUCACACUUCCAAACAUAUGCAUUACUCCAAUCUCUCCAAAAUGAAAAUAAUAUCAUUGUAAUUAACUUCCAUUUAAUUAAAUCACAACAGCGUCAAUAACUUCCAUUUACCAUAGGCUCAAGUAAACUGAUUAAUUCACUCAUACCUGUCAAGACAUCCAAACAUAUAUGCUUUUCAUGUUACAAAUACACUCAUUUUAUUUUACAUUGAAACUAAUGUAAAGACAAUGAACCCCCUACCAACCAGGAUAUACAUUUAAACUAACACACUUAAAACAAAAAUUACUAGUGAAAUGAAAGGAACCUAUACACAAACCAUAAACUCCCUCUUAGCUCACGGACCCACCCUUAAUUAUUUGCCCAAUAUAUAUAAAAAAAAUACCAAACCAAGACUAAAGAAAAUAUCCUUCUCUGCAUUUCAUUUUCUCACGUAUUCUUCAAUCCAAAACAAAAAAAAAAACUUUCUUCUCACACCUUCCCAAGGUGAGUCCCUCACGUGGAACCCCUGACACAAACACACCCCACAUUAUAACACACACACAUAUAUAUAUAUAUAUAUAUAUAUAUAUAUAUAUAUAUAUAUAUAUAUAUAUAUCAUUCAUGCAUAAGUACAUAGAAUAAAUAAACUUACGUCACCUGCCAUUUUAAUAUAUUAUAUAUUAAUAUAGUAUAUUACAUAAGUACAAUAUCCUAGCAUGAUUCACACGUGAAUCAUUUCCCAAUAAAACUCAUUCACCGAACAUUAUUUCUUCUAUCCUGUAAUACUUCCCUGCAUCAUUAUAUUUAUUUACUUAUUUAUUUUUAUAUACCUCACAGAGUUAAGAGCACGAACUAUUUGUAUUGCCUUCCCACCUCUUUUAUCUACAGAGAUACUCUCCUUUGCAUCUCCUUUCCUUUUCCAUAUUCUAAUCUUUCUUACUUUUCAUUUCAUAACCCAUCACACUCAAUCACACUCAACAAAUUAUCAUGUCAAUUUCAAAAAGAAUAGAUUAUAACCAUCAUAACCCAUAUACAUCAAUUUAACAGUUCAAGCACCAAUUACACAAAACAGGACAAUAUAAUAUGCAAGCACACAAUUUGCACAUUCCAGAACUUAACACACCAACAUAUUAUACAGUUAAAUCAAGGUAUACAAUUGGCUCCCCUUACCUGGAAACAAGCAACAAUAAGCUCACUCAACGCUUCUAAAGUAUUCCUAGCAAUUAGGGCAUCGAGAGACCUACAAAUCACCAAUUAGGUGAUAGACUUUAGCUUUUUGAGUUGAAAUAACGAAGAAUGGAAGACAAGAUCACAUAGAGCUCAUGGAAUCAGAAAAUGGUGCGACUUAGGUCAAAAACAGUGAUAAGAAAGGGGAAANAUUUACUUACUCGAUGAAACAGUGNGAUGGUGGGUUCNAANGGAAGCCCUCGACGCCAGGAACAAUUUGAAGGCACUAAAUGAAAUUUUGUACGGUUCAAAUUUCUGAAAAAGAAGAGAGAAGGUGGAGUAGAGUUAGGGUUUGGCACUUAGAGAGAAAAGGGUUUUCUGUGGAAUGAAAUCAGAAAUGAGCAAAGGAGUUUUCCUUUUCCCCCCUAAGGCCAUGCUCUAAGUGAAAUGGGUCAGACUACCCAAUUAAGCCCAAUG
This 2087-nucleotide long non-coding RNA is filed under the name Vigna radiata. RNAcentral's name for it is "long non-coding RNA (VRAD_LNC006157)". The record is from RNAcentral. Lineage: Eukaryota; Viridiplantae; Streptophyta; Magnoliopsida; Fabales; Fabaceae.